RNAcentral lists this ribosomal RNA (429 nucleotides) under Gemmatimonadota bacterium. RNAcentral's name for it is "Gemmatimonadetes bacterium partial 16S ribosomal RNA". It matches the Rfam family "Bacterial small subunit ribosomal RNA", at positions 355 to 776 of the family's 1533-position model. The record is from RNAcentral. Lineage: Bacteria; Pseudomonadati; Gemmatimonadota.
UAGGGAAUCUUCGGCAAUGGACGAAAGUCUGACCGAGCAACGCCGCGUGAGUGAAGAAGGUUUUCGGAUCGUAAAACUCUGUUGUUAGAGAAGAACAAGGACGUUAGUAACUGAACGUCCCCUGACGGUAUCUAACCAGAAAGCCACGGCUAACUACGUGCCAGCAGCCGCGGUAAUACGUAGGUGGCAAGCGUUGUCCGGAUUUAUUGGGCGUAAAGCGAGCGCAGGCGGUUUCUUAAGUCUGAUGUGAAAGCCCCCGGGUCAACCGGGGAGGGUCAUUGGAAACUGGGAGACUUGAGUGCAGAAGAGGAGAGUGGAAUUCCAUGUGUAGCGGUGAAAUGCGUAGAUAUAUGGAGGAACACCAGUGGCGAAGGCGGCUCUCUGGUCUGUAACUGACGCUGAGGCUAGAAAGCGUGGGGAGCAAACAGG